RNAcentral lists this small RNA (830 nucleotides) under Pongo abelii (Sumatran orangutan). RNAcentral's name for it is "retained intron". Lineage: Eukaryota; Metazoa; Chordata; Mammalia; Primates; Hominidae. The record is from RNAcentral.
UUGACUCUGGAAGGCAUCAAGCAGUUUUUCGUGGCAGUGGAGAGGGAAGAGUGGAAAUUUGACACUCUGUGUGACCUCUACGACACACUGACCAUCACUCAGGCGGUCAUCUUCUGCAACACCAAAAGAAAGGUGGACUGGCUGACGGAGAAAAUGAGGGAAGCCAACUUCACCGUGUCCUCCAUGCAUGGAGACAUGCCCCAGAAAGAGCGAGAGUCCAUCAUGAAGGAGUUCCGGUCAGGCGCCAGGUGGGUCCGCUACGCUGUGGCUCUGCGGGUCAGGGUUUGCUAGACUGUGUGCUAAGCACUUCGUAUGCACUGCCUAAGUGCAGGCCCCACACCUGGGGGGAUGACAAGCUUCUGCUCUGAAAGCUGAGGCCCCGGGUGAGCAGAAAACCUUCUAGUUAAUGAGGGGUCCGCUGUGCUCUUGUAAUACUUAGGUCGAGGUGAUAACUAGCCUUAACUAGCCAGGUUGGUCACCUUGGUUACAAGCGUGUGUCUUCUUUUCCAGUAAGUAGGGGUUUUCUGUUCAUCGUCUCGAUUACUUUAAUUCCACAGUGGUCAGAAAGCAUGGAUUGGGUGGUUUCAUUCAUUUGAACUUGAAUCAGACUUCCUUCCUUGCCCACCUUGUGUGGUCAGCUUAACAAAUGUGUGCGCCUUUUUUUUUUUUUUUUUUGAGACAGUCUCACUUCGUUACCCAGGCCGGAGUGCAGUGGCAUAAUCUUGGCUCAUUGCAGCCUCUGCCUCCUGAUUUCAAGUGACUCCUGUGCCUCAGCCUCCCGAGUAGCUGGAAUGGCUAAUUUUUUUUUUUUUUUUUUUUUUGCAUUUUUA